Molecule: ribosomal RNA, 69 nt
Filed under: Fauriea chujaensis
Lineage: Eukaryota; Fungi; Ascomycota; Lecanoromycetes; Teloschistales; Teloschistaceae
Also listed under: 1 other name
Description: partial 18S ribosomal RNA
Source: RNAcentral
CGGAAGGAUCAUUAUCGAGAGGGGGGCUUCGCGCUCCAGGGGUUCACGCCCCGCACCUUUCCACCCUAU